Non-coding RNA from Callithrix jacchus (white-tufted-ear marmoset), 1017 nucleotides. The record is from RefSeq and is a predicted model, not a curated record. Lineage: Eukaryota; Metazoa; Chordata; Mammalia; Primates; Cebidae.
UGUGCCACAGAGCAAGAUUCUGUCUCAAAAAAAAAAAAAAAAAAAAGAGAGAGAGAGAGAGAGAUAGCAAACAGCUGUUUUGCUCUGUCUCUGUCCUAUGUGAGGACAGAGUGAGACGGGCAGGCUACCAUCUACAAGCCACAGAGAGAGCCCUCAUCAGGAACUGAAUUGGCCAGCAGCUUGACCUUAGACUUCCAACCUGCCAGAACUGUAAGAACACAAAUUCCUCUCGUUUCAACUACCCAGUCUCUGGAAUUUUGUUAUGGUAGCCCGAGAAGACAACUGAGACACUUACACCCAACAUGUGGAAAUAUUUUGAACUUUAAAAUAAUGAAAAACUUACUGUUCUUGGCAGUGAACAGAAAUUUGACUUUUUGGCAUACUUUGGAGUCACUAUGUAAGAUUGGUUGUUCCAAAACAGAAGAAAGAAUCAAAUAAAAACAUUAAGAAAAUAAAGUAGAAGAUCCAGUUUUCAAAUCGAGGUGAACUUUUUUCCAAAGUCUGCACUCUUAUUUAUGGAUAUAGUGUAGACAUCCUGGAUCAGAACUUACAGACUGGAUGACAUUUAUCAGUAAGUCUCUGAUCUGCUUAUACUAAAUACAUUAACUGAAUUGGGUGCCAUGUUGGUUAUUUUCAAGAAAUGCAACAGGAGACCAUAAAGAGUGAAUAAUGUCAAUUAAAGAGUAUAUUGCCUAAAGCUUCCUUUGACCACUAAGUGUGUGCCAAAUGUUCAUUACAGAUAUUCUGUUUUGCAAUGAUAGCAUUUCUCAUCCAUAUUACAGCAGGAUAUUUGUAUUUUUGUCUCAUCCACAUCUUCAGACACUAAUCCGGCAAUAGGAAUGAGUGUCGCACAGUGCAAGGCACGUAAUAAGCAAAAGACGGAGAAGAUGUGAUUUUUUUUAAUGAGGAGGAAAAAAGACUUCAAGAAAGAUUAUUACUUGAUGAAGUGCACAGAAACAUCUUGCUUCAAAUACUGAUGCAGAUAUCUUUUAAGAAAAAGAGAGAAGAAAUUGGUCA